GCUUAGCCCUGAUUGAAAUGGCAUCCUUUUUAUGCUGAACUGGUUUUAAUAUCUGUUACAAAUAAUAAAUUACUUUUAAAUUUAGUAAGAUGCUGAAAUAUAUUUAGCAUAAAAAGAUACAAUGAAAAGCAGGAAAUAGC
This 140-nucleotide small RNA is filed under the name Polaribacter sp. KT25b. Its description in RNAcentral is "Flavo-1 RNA". It matches the Rfam family "Flavo-1 RNA". Lineage: Bacteria; Pseudomonadati; Bacteroidota; Flavobacteriia; Flavobacteriales; Flavobacteriaceae. The record is from Rfam by way of RNAcentral.